UGGGGAAUUUUGGACAAUGGGCGCAAGCCUGAUCCAGCAAUGCCGCGUGCAGGAUGAAGGCCUUCGGGUUGUAAACUGCUUUUGUACGGAACGAAAAGCCUCUCUCUAAUACAGGGGGUGAUGACGGUACCGUAAGAAUAAGCACCGGCUAACUACGUGCCAGCAGCCGCGGUAAUACGUAGGGUGCAAGCGUUAAUCGGAAUUACUGGGCGUAAAGCGUGCGCAGGCGGUUUUGUAAGACAGUGGUGAAAUCCCCGGGCUCAACCUGGGAACUGCCAUUGUGACUGCAAGGCUGGAGUGCGGCAGAGGGGGAUGGAAUUCCGCGUGUAGCAGUGAAAUGCGUAGAUAUGCGGAGGAACACCGAUGGCGAAGGCAAUCCCCUGGGCCUGCACUGACGCUCAUGCACGAAAGCGUGGGGAGCAAAACAGGAUUAGAUACCCUGGUAGUCCACGCCCUAAAACGAUGUCAACUGGUUGUUGGGGAUUUAUUUCUUCAGUAACGAAGCUAACGCGUGAAGUUGACCGCCUGGGGGAGUACGGCCGCAAGGUUAAAAACUCAAAAUGAAUUGACGGGGUCAUAGCUGUUUCCU
This 589-nucleotide ribosomal RNA is filed under the name uncultured bacterium. Its description in RNAcentral is "partial 16S ribosomal RNA". It matches the Rfam family "Bacterial small subunit ribosomal RNA", at positions 355 to 1375 of the family's 1533-position model. The record is from RNAcentral.